Molecule: ribosomal RNA, 407 nt
Filed under: uncultured bacterium
Lineage: Bacteria
Description: bacterial SSU rRNA
Rfam family: Bacterial small subunit ribosomal RNA
Source: RNAcentral
UGGGGAAUAUUGGGCAAUGGGCGCAAGCCUGACCCAGCAACGCCGCGUGAGGGAAGAAGGCUUUCGGGUUGUAAACCUCUGUCCUUGGUGACGAAAAAAAUGACGGUAGCCAAGGAGGAAGCCCCGGCUAACUACGUGCCAGCAGCCGCGGUAAUACGUAGGGGGCGAGCGUUGUCCGGAAUUACUGGGCGUAAAGGGUGCGUAGGUGGCCUUUUAAGUUGGAUGUGAAAUACCCGGGCUUAACCUGGGGGGUGCAUCUAAUACUGGAAGGCUAGAGUGCAGGAGAGGAAAGCGGAAUUCCUAGUGUAGCGGUGAAAUGCGUAGAUAUUAGGAGGAACACCAGUGGCGAAGGCGGCUUUCUGGACUGUAACUGACACUGAGGCACGAAAGCGUGGGGAGCAAACAGG